RNAcentral lists this long non-coding RNA (1522 nucleotides) under Sorghum bicolor (sorghum). RNAcentral's name for it is "long non-coding RNA (SBIC_LNC009481)". The record is from RNAcentral. Lineage: Eukaryota; Viridiplantae; Streptophyta; Magnoliopsida; Poales; Poaceae.
UAGAAAUAAGCGAUUUGUAGAGAUAGCUACUUAGCCACCCUUAGAAGUCAAUGUCUAGAGAUGGUUAUUAAUCACAACUGUCUCUCUUCGAAUCGUUUCCUCGAAAUCCACCAAACAAUGAUAAGAUAGGCCAAAAAAGCAAUUUUUAAAAAUCCGAGAGAACCAACUGGAAGCCAUAUGCCUAGAGCAAUUAUUGAUGUGUGCGCAUAUACCUCUUUACCGACCAACAAUAAGGGCAGAUGCCAAAUCUUUACAUCCCAAAAUUUUUUGGUGUAAACUUUAUAUUUAAAUAGGUGUUUAGAUGCUUUCCAAAUUUUUUGGUCAACAAGAUACAUGACACGGGUCCCUAAUCAAGUUUACACAGUUUUGAGGCUCCAUGGUCCCAAUUUCUAAAUCUUUAAAUCCAAGUUUUACAAGCCCCUGUUUAGAUCGAUUCUUCCAAAAAGUGCUCAUUUCUCCAAAAGUUUUGGUUGUUUGCUGAGAGGGCAAUCCCCUAGCGUUUGUGUGAGGCAUUUACCAUUACAUCGUCUAGACUAGUAUAAUUAUUCUCUUUAAUACGCCAGAAAUCCUUGGCCUCUCAGGGCAUCGGCUAUUGUUCAGUACUGUUCAUUUUGCUAUUUUUAUUUUUAUUCUUUUUAUGUUUCACUCCUUUAUGCGUAUUUUUUCUCCUCUAUUUUUUCUGCUUUUUUCUCCUUUUUCAUGGUUUUUUCCUCAAAAAACCGGCACAACGUAGCCCAUAAUGCUAGUAUAUACGCACACGGACACACGGUGGUUGUGCCUUCUUUUGUGUUUAUUCUUCCAGCAUAACGUUGACCUAGCUUUCCACUCUUAUAACAGCAAAAAGAGAUGUUGGUGUCAAAGUCUGCAAGUUGUCUUUGGUUAUUUGAUCUGAUGACUAUUGCCGGUGGAUCCAACAGUUAUAUUGCUAGCUUAACCCUUUUUAUAUGUUUACAAUCUUUGUCAACCAUUUGAACCGAUGACGACUAUUGCCGGUGGAUCCAAGUCGAUACAUUAAUUAGGGAGUAUGGAUAACCAAUAGACUGCAACAUUAAGAAUAAGGAACUAUACAUAUCCCUAUCCCCUGCUUGUGAGUGAAAGUUACGAUUUUAUUUUAUUGAUAAUGUGUUAAGAGCAGGUAGAAUGAUAUGCACAAAGGAGCACGAUGGUGAUGCAAAGGCUAAUAAUGUGUUAAGAGCAGGUAGAAUGAUGCACAAAGCAGCUCGAUCAUCGAUCUUGCUAAACGAAAAAAAAAAGAUAAUCCUGCUCGGCGCACCGGCACAGCUUGCACAUGGCCGCCGCCUGGCGCUCAGCCCCUCGGCAACUGGCGACUGCAAACUCAAAUAAAAUAUUUGAAUGCCGUGAAAGUAAAAGCUUCUAAAAAUGAGACGUUGGACUGGGGUUGGAGGGAGUUGAUACUUUUUUUUUAGGAAACAAGAGAGACUCAGGAGUCUACUGAAAAAUUUAUUAAAAAAGGUAACCAAUGAGAUUAUAGAAAGGCAACGAAGAACAAGAAGAAGGGGCU